GUGGGGAAUAUUGCGCAAUGGGCGAAAGCCUGACGCAGCGACGCCGCGUGAGGGAUGAAGGCCUUCGGGUCGUAAACCUCUUUCAGCAGGGAAGAAGCGAAAGUGACGGUACCUGCAGAAGAAGCACCGGCUAACUACGUGCCAGCAGCCGCGGUAAUACGUAGGGGGCAAGCGUUGUCCGGAUUUACUGGGCGUAAAGCGCGCGUAGGCGGCUUGUUAAGUGUAGAGUGAAAGCUCCGGGCUCAACCCGGAAAUUGCUCUGCAUACUGGCAGGCUGGAGGGACGCAGAGGUCUGUGGAAUUCCUGGUGUAACGGUGAAAUGUGUUGAUAUCAGGAGGAACACCCAUGGCGAAGGCAGCAGACUGGGCGUUUCCUGACGCUGAGGCGCGAAAGCGUGGGUAGCAAACAGGAUUAGAAACCCUAGUAGUCC
RNAcentral lists this ribosomal RNA (430 nucleotides) under uncultured bacterium. Its description in RNAcentral is "bacterial SSU rRNA". It matches the Rfam family "Bacterial small subunit ribosomal RNA", at positions 354 to 796 of the family's 1533-position model. The record is from RNAcentral.